GACCGGCCCGGGCCGGUGGGGGCCCGGCCGGUCACGGCGGUCGGGCGGUCGGGCGGUCGCGGCGGUCGGGCGGUCGC
RNAcentral lists this transfer RNA (77 nucleotides) under Kitasatospora indigofera. Its description in RNAcentral is "tRNA-Val". The record is from RNAcentral. Lineage: Bacteria; Bacillati; Actinomycetota; Actinomycetes; Kitasatosporales; Streptomycetaceae.